GCGUGAGUGAAGAAGGCCUUAGGGUUGUAAAACUCUUUCACCGGGGACGAUGAUGACGGUACCCGGAGAAGAAGCCCCGGCUAACUCCGUGCCAGCAGCCGCGGUAAUACGGAGGGGGCUAGCGUUGUUCGGAAUUACUGGGCGUAAAGCGCACGCAGGCGGUUUUCCAAGUCAGAUGUGAAAGCCCCGGGCUUAACCCGGGAACUGCAUUUGAUACUGGAUGACUAGAGGCCGGGAGAGGGUAGUGGAAUUCCCAGUGUAGAGGUGAAAUUCGU
RNAcentral lists this ribosomal RNA (275 nucleotides) under uncultured bacterium. Its description in RNAcentral is "partial 16S ribosomal RNA". It matches the Rfam family "Bacterial small subunit ribosomal RNA", at positions 399 to 691 of the family's 1533-position model. The record is from RNAcentral.